Molecule: non-coding RNA, 114 nt
Organism: Acanthosepion pharaonis
Lineage: Eukaryota; Metazoa; Mollusca; Cephalopoda; Sepiida; Sepiidae
Source: the annotation of a GenBank genome assembly
UACGGCCACAUCAUGUUGAAACACCGGUUCCCGUACGAUCACUGAAGUUAAGUAACGUCGUGUCCUGGUCAGUAUCUAGAUGGGUGACUACUUGAGAAUAUCAGGUGCUGUAAG